Molecule: long non-coding RNA, 1279 nt
Filed under: Homo sapiens (human)
Lineage: Eukaryota; Metazoa; Chordata; Mammalia; Primates; Hominidae
Description: HSALNT0332144
Source: RNAcentral
CGUCUUUGCAACCAGUUCCCCAUGUUCCAUCCCCUCUGCUGAAGACCUAGGCUGGGCACUGUUUUCCCAACUGAUCUGUAGCUGGAAUCUCUGAAGGCACGUCUGUGGUACACACGAGGAGCCUGAAACUGGGAGAAGCCCCUGGACCUGCCUGUGUGAAUUGCAUUAGCAGUGGGACAGGACCCAGCUCUCCCAGGCUCUACUUACCAGCCGAGGCUACCACCACACAGAGUGUACUGCAGUUUCAGGCUUGGAGAGGAAGGGAGGAAGCCUAACCCUCGGGAGACCCCGUCAUGUUUUGAUGUCAUUGCAUGUCCCAUUUGGCCAGCCCGGAAAAAAUAAAAUGAGGAAGAAUGGCCCACAAACAACCUGGACAGAUAGAAGGCUGCUUUUAAAGAAGCUCACAGACACAGCUGAUUGAUUCUGCGACCUUGCUUUGUUACUCAUCUCUGAGUUUAGAGGCUUCACUGCCAGGGACCUUGUCCAGAGUUUCUGAGACCUCCAACAGCCUGUGGUCUCCUGGUCACUCAGACCCUACUGGUGGCUUCAGAUGCUGGAUCUUGCUGAUGUUUGAAUUAGCUCUCUGUGAAGGGCAUGCUGGUGAGGCCACAUACCAGGAAACCAUGACAAACAACAGAAUUACAGUCUGGUUAAAAAAGAAAAUAUACAUAUGCACAUAUGUAUAUUCCCCUACCCCAGGGGUUGAGACUUUUUUUGGCAUAAAUUUACAUAUAUUUUGGCACAAAUUUGCAUAGAGGUACACGAGAACCUCUCAUUUACAGCACUAAAAUUUGUAUUGUUCCCCUUAGACCCUUGUCACUGGCUGUUACUAAUGUACUGAGUUUCACCAGUUUGUCCUCCAUUUCCUAGAAUUUGUUCUAAUUUUUAGGAAAUGCUUACUAAAUAUCACCAUUGUGUGUGGUGAAAUCCAGCCCUAGAGGACAUCAAAAGGUCUCUUGUUAGCUGGUAGCUAUUGUUAGGUAUUAUCUGUAGAGACAUCGGGUUUCCUGGAAACAUCCCAUAGAGCUGUCCAAAAGUAUUAAUUAUUAAAUUGGGCCUUUAACUGUAUUUAUAGAAAUUAUAAUAUUACGUUUAUAUGUAUAGAAAAGAGAUUAUAUCUAAGCCUUAUAUCUGUAUAAAAAAAGGAUUUUACCAAAAGUACUGGAAGGUGCAUUAUAGUUACUCUCAAAUGUAAUAUUAGGGAUUUAUAUUUACAUAUAUUUGAGACAGGGUCUCACUCUGCCCAGGCUGGAGUGCAGUGGUGUGAUCUCUCGCCUCA